This is a long non-coding RNA of Haliaeetus leucocephalus (bald eagle), 659 nucleotides long. RefSeq lists it as uncharacterized. NCBI's taxonomy places the organism in Eukaryota, Metazoa, Chordata, Aves, Accipitriformes, Accipitridae. The transcript has 3 exons. The record is from RefSeq and is a predicted model, not a curated record.
AUGCCCCUUGGGAGCGGCGUGUAACUGCCUGUGCCUAAAGAUUUGGGGCAUCCAGGCACGUGGAGCUAGCAGCAGACCAUGCACCGACUGUUACUCUGUUCUCACUGCUGGGAAUGGCACCACCUCCAGAGGAUCCCAGGCUCAGCUCUUUAGGAAGCGUCGGCACGCCAGCUCUGAGAGUCGGCAUCCCCUAGCUGCUCUGCCAAGGGAAACAUUAUGCCCAUGGAUGCGAUCUCGUCAACUCCCUCAAAAGCAGGCUAACAAGCAAAUUGACCUCCACUGCGCUGGGAGAGGAGCCUUCUCCCACAGGACCGGAGCCUUUCCACACACGAGGGAAGAGAGAUCCCAAGGACAGAACUGAACCUGCAAUACCCAUGGCCUCAUGGCCUCCCCUUCCUUCUUCCUUCUUCACCUCGUCUGUCUGUCUUGGGGGAGGGACAGUUUCUUUGUGGAGUUCAGCAAGCUCCUCAUCCUGCAGCUCAUAAACAGGGUCUACUAACAGGUACAUCAUCCACCUAUGCAACACUUCCAGAAGCUGCCGAGUUUUCAGGAGCCCAUAUCAAUGUGCAGCGUGGCCAUCCAGCACUGAGAAUAAGCACAGGGGCUGCUGGAAAGCUAAGUGGGUUUUAUUUCUCCCUCCCUCCCGAGGAAGACUGUUU